CCGCCUACUGCAGACGCUGAUUGGUUUACGCUUCCCGCUAACGCUUUUGUUGUGCGUUUUGAGGAUACCUGGUUGGCUGACACUCAAGUCAAUCCCUGCAACAGAGGUGGCCGUGUGACGCGUGAGGCCGUUUUUGGCGCGAGAGCGGCUCGCGCAGGCGCACGCUGAUUGGCUGGACGCGCCACUGGACGGAUGCGUGCGCGAGAGGCAGCGAACUCCUGUGUGCAGGGAAAAAGCCGUCGCCGCCUCAGCCUCUUUAUCCAACACGAAUAAGAGAUCAUCGAAAAAUAUCUCAGGGAGCUCUGAAUGGUGUAAUCUCUGCACUUCCUCCAGUAUAGUACCAUAGGUGAGUGUCGAA
Long non-coding RNA from Carassius auratus (goldfish), 358 nucleotides. RefSeq lists it as uncharacterized. The transcript has 3 exons. The record is from RefSeq and is a predicted model, not a curated record. Lineage: Eukaryota; Metazoa; Chordata; Actinopteri; Cypriniformes; Cyprinidae.